CGGCGGACGGGUGAGUAACGCGUAGGAAUCUACCCGGUAGUGGGGGACAACAUGGUGAAAACCAUGCUAAUACCGCAUACGCCCUAUGGGGGAAAGCGGGGGACCUUCGGGCCUCGCGCUAUCGGAUGAGCCUGCGUAAGAUUAGCUAGUUGGUGGGGUAAAGGCCCACCAAGGCGACGAUCUUUAGCUGGUCUGAGAGGAUGAUCAGCCACACUGGGACUGAGACACGGCCCAG
This 235-nucleotide ribosomal RNA is filed under the name uncultured bacterium. RNAcentral describes it as "partial 16S ribosomal RNA". It matches the Rfam family "Bacterial small subunit ribosomal RNA", at positions 96 to 334 of the family's 1533-position model. The record is from RNAcentral.